This 467-nucleotide ribosomal RNA is filed under the name uncultured bacterium. Its description in RNAcentral is "bacterial SSU rRNA". It matches the Rfam family "Bacterial small subunit ribosomal RNA", at positions 335 to 792 of the family's 1533-position model. The record is from RNAcentral.
ACUCCUACGGGAGGCAGCAGUGGGGAAUAUUGCACAAUGGGCGCAAGCCUGAUGCAGCCAUGCCGCGUGUAUGAAGAAGGCCUUCGGGUUGUAAAGUACUUUCAGCAGGGAGGAAGGUAGUGUAGUUAACACCUGCACUAUUUGACGUUACCUACAGAAGAAGCACCGGCUAACUCCGUGCCAGCAGCCGCGGUAAUACGGAGGGUGCGAGCGUUAAUCGGAAUUACUGGGCGUAAAGCGCAUGCAGGCGGCCUGUUAAGUCAGAUGUGAAAGCCCGGGGCUUAACCUCGGAAUUGCAUUUGAAACUGGCAGGCUAGAGUCUUGUAGAGGGGGGUAGAAUUUCAGGGUGUAGCGGUGAAAUGCGUAGAGAUCUGAAGGAAUACCAGUGGCGAAGGNGGCCCCCCUGGACAAAGACUGACGCUCAGAUGCGAAAGCGUGGGGAGCAAACAGGAUUNGAUACCCUGGUA